GACGAACGCUGGCGGCGUGCCUAAUACAUGCAAGUAGAACGCUGAGGACUGGUGCUUGCACUGGUCUAAGGAGUUGCGAACGGGUGAGUAACGCGUAGGUAACCUACCUCAUAGCGGGGGAUAACUAUUGGAAACGAUAGCUAAUACCGCAUGACAAUAGGGUACACAUGUACCCUAUUUAAAAGGGGCAAAUGCCUCACUAUGAGAUGGACCUGCGUUGUAUUAGCUAGUUGGUGAGGUAACGGCCCACCAAGGCGACGAUCGGUAGCCGGACUGAGAGGUUGAACGGCCACAUUGGGACUGAGACACGGCCCAG
This 316-nucleotide ribosomal RNA is filed under the name uncultured bacterium. RNAcentral describes it as "bacterial SSU rRNA". It matches the Rfam family "Bacterial small subunit ribosomal RNA", at positions 28 to 334 of the family's 1533-position model. The record is from RNAcentral.